RNAcentral lists this ribosomal RNA (468 nucleotides) under uncultured bacterium. Its description in RNAcentral is "partial 16S ribosomal RNA". It matches the Rfam family "Bacterial small subunit ribosomal RNA", at positions 28 to 507 of the family's 1533-position model. The record is from RNAcentral.
GACGAACGCUGGCGGCGUGCUUAACACAUGCAAGUCGAACGGAAAGGCCCUGCUUUUGUGGGGUGCUCGAGUGGCGAACGGGUGAGUAACACGUGAGUAACCUGCCCUUGACUUUGGGAUAACUUCAGGAAACUGGGGCUAAUACCGGAUAGGAGCUCCUGCUGCAUGGUGGGGGUUGGAAAGUUUCGGCGGUUGGGGAUGGACUCGCGGCUUAUCAGCUUGUUGGUGGGGUAGUGGCUUACCAAGGCUUUGACGGGUAGCCGGCCUGAGAGGGUGACCGGCCAAAAUGGGACUGGGGAACGGGCCAAAAACCUUAGGGAAGCAAGAGGGGGGAAUAAUGCAACAAGGGCGGAAGCCUGAUGCAGGAAAGGCGGGGGCGGGAAGAAGGGCUUCGGGUUGGAAACCGCUUUCGCCUGGGAAGAAGCGGGAGGGAAGGGAAAGGGGUAAGAAGCAACGGCUAACUAAGUG